GAUGAAGAACGCAGCGAAAUGCGAUAAGUAGUGUGAAUUGCAGAAUUCAGUGAAUCAUCGAAUCUUUGAACGCACAUUGCGCCCCUUGGUAUUCCAUGGGGCAUGCCUGUUCGAGCGUCAUUUGUACCUUCAAGCUCUGCUUGGUGUUGGGUGUUUGUCUCGCCUCCGCGUGUAGACUCGCCUUAAAACAAUUGGCAGCCGGCGUAUUGAUUUCGGAGCGCAGUACAUCUCGCGCUUUGCACUCAUAACGACGACGUCCAAAAGUACAUUUUUACACUCUUGACCUCGGAUCAGGUAGGGAUACCCGCUGAACUUAAGCAUAUCAAUAAGCGGAGA
This 336-nucleotide unclassified non-coding RNA is filed under the name soil metagenome. Its description in RNAcentral is "partial contains 5.8S ribosomal RNA, internal transcribed spacer 2, and large subunit ribosomal RNA". The stretch from base 1 to 120 matches the Rfam family "5.8S ribosomal RNA", at positions 35 to 154 of the family's 154-position model. The record is from RNAcentral.